This 69-nucleotide transfer RNA is filed under the name Aporrhais serresiana. RNAcentral's name for it is "tRNA-Tyr". Lineage: Eukaryota; Metazoa; Mollusca; Gastropoda; Littorinimorpha; Aporrhaidae. The record is from RNAcentral.
UUGUUCGAUGGCCGAGACCUAGGCAAUAGACUGUAGAUCUAUCUACGAAAUUAAAUUUUCUCAACAAAC